ACGCUGGCGGCGUGCUUAACACAUGCAAGUCGAACGGUGAACACGGAGCUUGCUCUGUGGGAUCAGUGGCGAACGGGUGAGUAACACGUGAGCAACCUGCCCCUGACUCUGGGAUAAGCGCUGGAAACGGCGUCUAAUACUGGAUAUGUGACGUGACCGCAUGGUCUGCGUCUGGAAAGAAUUUCGGUUGGGGAUGGGCUCGCGGCCUAUCAGCUUGUUGGUGAGGUAAUGGCUCACCAAGGCGUCGACGGGUAGCCGGCCUGAGAGGGUGACCGGCCACACUGGGACUGAGACACGGCCCAGACUCCUACGGGAGGCAGCAGUGGGGAAUAUUGCACAAUGGGCGCAAGCCUGAUGCAUCAACGCCGCGUGAGGGACGACGGCCUUCGGGUUGUAAACCUCUUUUCGCAGGGAAGAAGCGAAAGUGACGGUACCUGCAGAAAAAGCGCCGGCUAACUACGUGCCAGCAGCCGCGGUAAUACGUAGGGCGCAAGCGUUAUCCGGAAUUAUUGGGCGUAAAGAGCUCGUAGGCGGUUUGUCGCGUCUGCUGUGAAAUCCGGAGGCUCAACCUCCGGCCUGCAGUGGGUACGGGCAGACUAGAGUGCGGUAGGGGAGAUUGGAAUUCCUGGUGUAGCGGUGGAAUGCGCAGAUAUCAGGAGGAACACCGAUGGCGAAGGCAGAUCUCUGGGCCGUAACUGACGCUGAGGAGCGAAAGGGUGGGGAGCAAAC
Molecule: ribosomal RNA, 729 nt
Filed under: uncultured bacterium
Lineage: Bacteria
Description: bacterial SSU rRNA
Rfam family: Bacterial small subunit ribosomal RNA
Source: RNAcentral